Molecule: long non-coding RNA, 332 nt
Organism: Chroicocephalus ridibundus (black-headed gull)
Lineage: Eukaryota; Metazoa; Chordata; Aves; Charadriiformes; Laridae
Exons: 3
Source: RefSeq, a predicted model, not a curated record
AAGCUUUGUAAGAUCAAGGGUCCUUAACAGAAGGGACCAGAGUGGAGCAAUGAGAUUAUAAGAACAGAAAAAACUUUUCAAUAGAGAAGGCACUGGAACUAGCCGUGUUAGUAAGUAAUCAACUAACUGAACAAGGAGUGAAUGAGUGACAGGGAGAGAGAAUGUAAGGAUGGAGAUUCAGCACUCCCAGUCCUCAUCAUGCAAGAAACAGAGGGAUUUCAAUUACAUAAGGAAAGACAGGAAAUUCAAAGCUGCCUACUGUUGAAUGAAAUACCAUUUCAAGCUACGGGAGGCAUCAUUUGAGUGAACAAUAGAUAUCUCUCCACACCUGU